CCCUUAGAUGUCCGGGGCCGCACGCGCGCUACACUGAAGGAAUCAGCGUGGCUUUCUCCCUGACCCGAAAGGGUUGGGAAACCCGUUGAAUCUCCUUCGUGAUAGGGAUUGGGGCUUGAAAUUGUUCCCCAUGAACGAGGAAUUCCCAGUAAGCGCGAGUCAUAAGCUCGCGUUGAUUACGUCCCUGCCCUUUGUACACACCGCCCGUCGCUACUACCGAUUGAACGGUUUAGUGAGGGCCUCGGAUUGGUCUCGGCCCGCUCUUUACCGGGCGGCGCAGUUGGUCGAGAAGACGCUCGAACUUGAUCGUUUAGAGGAAGUAAAAGUCGUAACA
Molecule: ribosomal RNA, 334 nt
Filed under: uncultured eukaryote
Lineage: Eukaryota
Description: partial 18S ribosomal RNA
Rfam family: Eukaryotic small subunit ribosomal RNA
Source: RNAcentral